Molecule: ribosomal RNA, 253 nt
Filed under: uncultured prokaryote
Description: partial 16S ribosomal RNA
Rfam family: Bacterial small subunit ribosomal RNA
Source: RNAcentral
ACGUAGGUGGCAAGCGUUGUCCGGAAUUAUUGGGCGUAAAGCGCGCGCAGGCGGCUUCUUAAGUCUGAUGUGAAAUCUCGGGGCUCAACCCCGAGCGGCCAUUGGAAACUGGGGAGCUUGAGUGCAGAAGAGGAGAGUGGAAUUCCACGUGUAGCGGUGAAAUGCGUAGAGAUGUGGAGGAACACCAGUGGCGAAGGCGACUCUCUGGUCUGUAACUGACGCUGAGGCGCGAAAGCGUGGGGAGCAAACAGGA